AGUGAACGCUGGCGGUAGGCCUAACACAUGCAAGUCGAACGGCAGCACCGUAAGAGCUUGCUCUUACGGGUGGCGAGUGGCGGACGGGUGAGGAAUACAUCGGAAUCUACUUUUUCGUGGGGGAUAACGUAGGGAAACUUACGCUAAUACCGCAUACGACCUACGGGUGAAAGCAGGGGAUCUUCGGACCUUGCGCGAUUGAAUGAGCCGAUGUCGGAUUAGCUAGUUGGCGGGGUAAAGGCCCACCAAGGCGACGAUCCGUAGCUGGUCUGAGAGGAUGAUCAGCCACACUGGAACUGAGACACGGUCCAGACUCCUACGGGAGGCAGCAGUGGGGAAUAUUGGACAAUGGGCGCAAGCCUGAUCCAGCCAUACCGCGUGGGUGAAGAAGGCCUUCGGGUUGUAAAGCCCCUUUGUUGGGAAAGAGAAGCAGCAGGUUAAUACCCCGCUGUUCUGACGGUACCCAAAGAAUAAGCACCGGCUAACUUCGUG
Molecule: ribosomal RNA, 492 nt
Filed under: uncultured bacterium
Lineage: Bacteria
Description: partial 16S ribosomal RNA
Rfam family: Bacterial small subunit ribosomal RNA
Source: RNAcentral